This 29-nucleotide non-coding RNA is filed under the name Rattus norvegicus (Norway rat). The record is from RNAcentral. Lineage: Eukaryota; Metazoa; Chordata; Mammalia; Rodentia; Muridae.
ACAGCAUCCUGGAUGAAAGAUGGUGUUGU